Long non-coding RNA from Balaenoptera acutorostrata (minke whale), 435 nucleotides. RefSeq lists it as uncharacterized. Lineage: Eukaryota; Metazoa; Chordata; Mammalia; Artiodactyla; Balaenopteridae. The transcript is spliced from 5 exons. The record is from RefSeq and is a predicted model, not a curated record.
AUAACAGCAUCCAAGAGAAGGAACUGACUGGGAAGUUUGAGAAUACUUCUGAAUACAAUGAAAGUUCUCCUUCUACUCACAGCCAUCUUGGCAGUAACCAUUGGUUUCCCGGUCUCUCAAGACAAGGAAAGAGAAGAACGAAGUGUCAGUGGGAGUGAUGAACUACCUUCACAGUUUUUUUUGCCCCCUUACCAGUAUCCAUUUCACCCAUAUCCACCAUUCCUAUAUCCAUGGUGGGCCUAUUUUUAUCCUCCUAUUCCAGUACCUGCAUCUGUCUCUACAACUACCCCUCUUAAUGAGCAUUAAACAAGAAAGAGAAGUCCCAGUGCAAUUUAAGAUGAAAUAGGUGGUCACUGUAAAAUUGAAUGUGAGCCACUUCUUUGAAGAAUCAAUAUUCCUGUUAAGCAAAGAAAAAUAAAUGUGAUUGAAGUAGCA